CACUCCUACGGGAGGCAGCAGUGGGGAAUUUUGGACAAUGGGCGAAAGCCUGAUCCAGCCAUGCCGCGUGCAGGAUGAAGGCCUUCGGGUUGUAAACUGCUUUUGUACGGAACGAAACGGCCUUUUCUAAUAAAGAGGGCUAAUGACGGUACCGUAAGAAUAAGCACCGGCUAACUACGUGCCAGCAGCCGCGGUAAUACGUAGGGUGCAAGCGUUAAUCGGAAUUACUGGGCGUAAAGCGUGCGCAGGCGGUUAUGUAAGACAGUUGUGAAAUCCCCGGGCUCAACCUGGGAACUGCAUCUGUGACUGCAUAGCUAGAGUACGGUAGAGGGGGAUGGAAUUCUGCGUGUAGCAGUGAAAUGCGUAGAUAUGCGGAGGAACACCGAUGGCGAAGGCAAUCCCCUGGACCUGUACUGACGCUCAUGCACGAAAGCGUGGGGAGCAAACAGGAUUAGAUACCCUGGUAGUCCCAUGA
RNAcentral lists this ribosomal RNA (475 nucleotides) under uncultured organism. RNAcentral describes it as "partial 16S ribosomal RNA". It matches the Rfam family "Bacterial small subunit ribosomal RNA", at positions 334 to 800 of the family's 1533-position model. The record is from RNAcentral.